Molecule: long non-coding RNA, 3425 nt
Filed under: Gallus gallus (chicken)
Lineage: Eukaryota; Metazoa; Chordata; Aves; Galliformes; Phasianidae
Source: RNAcentral
AGAUCAACAGUGGUCUGUAUGGAAUGACAGCACAGAGAUCAACAGUGGUCUGUAUGGACUGACUGCACAGAGAUCAACAGUGGUCUGUAUGGAAUGACAGCACAGGGACCCACUUCGGCCUGUAUGGACUGACAGCACAGAGAUACCGACGUCGGUCUGUACUGACUGACAGCACAGGACCCACUUCGGCCUGUAUGGACUGAUAGCACAGAGACGCCAACGUCAGUCUGUACCAACUGACAGCACAAAGACCCACAUUGAUGUGUAUGGACUGACAGCACAGAGACGCCAACGUCAGUCUGUAUGGACUGACAGCACAAAGACCCACAUCGGUGUGUAUGGACUGAGAGCACAGAGACAGCAACAUCAGUCUGUAUUGACUAACGUAACACCAUGGUAACACCAACAUCAGUCUGUAUGGACUGACAGCACAGAGACCCACAUCGGUGUGUAUGGAAUGACAGCACAGAGACAGCAACGUCAGUCUGUAUGGACUGACAUAACACCGUGGUAACACCGACAUCGGUCUGUAUGGAUUGACAGCACAGAGAUCAACAUUGCUCUGUAUGGACUGACAUAACAGCAUAACACCAACAUUGGAGUGUAUGGACUGACAGCACAGGGACCCACUUCAGUGUGUAUGGACUGACUGCACAGAGACCAACAUUGGUCUGUAUGGACUGAUAGCACAGAGAUCAACAUUGCUCUGUAUGGACUGACAUAACAGCAUAACACCAACAUUGGAGUGUAUGGACUGACAGCACAGAGAUCAACAGUGGUCUGUAUGGACUGACAGCACAGAACCCACAUCGGCCUGUAUGGACUGACUGCACAGAGACAGCAACAUCGGUUUAUAUAGACUGACUGCACAGAGACCCACAUCGGUGUGUACAGACUGAUAGCACAGAGACACCAACGUCAGUCUGUAUUGGUGUGUAUGGACUGACAGCACAGAGACCCACAUUGGUGUGUAUGGACUGACAGCACAGAGACCAACAUUGCUCUGUAUGGACUGACUGCACAGAGAUCAACAGUGGUCUGUAUGGACUGACAGCACAGAGACCCACUUCGGUGUGUAUGGACUGAUAGCACAGAGACACCAAUGUCAGUCUGUAUGGACUGACAGCACAGAGACCAACAUUGUUCUGUAUGGACUGACUGCACAGAGACCCACAUCGGUCUGUAUGGACUGAUGUAACAGCAUGAUAACACCAACAUUGGCCUGUAUGGACUGACAGCACAGAGACACCGAUGUCAGUCUGUAUGGACUGACAGCACAGAGACCAACAGUGGUCUGUAUGAACUGACAUAACAGCAUGAUAACACCAACAUUGGUCUGUAUGGACUGACAGCACAGGGACACCAACGUUGGUCUGUACCCACUGAUAGAACACCAUAAUAACACCAACAUCAGUGUGUAUGGACUGACAGCACAGAGACCAACAUUGGUCUGUAUGGACUGAUAGCACAGAGACCAACAGUGGUCUGUAUGGACUGACAUAACAGCAUAACACCAACAUUGGAGUGUAUGGACUGACUGCACAGGGACCCACUUCGGCCUGUAUGGACUGACAGCACAGAGACAGCAACGUCGGUCUGUAUGGACUGACAGCACAGAGAUCAACAGUGGUCUGUAUGGACUGACUGCACAGAGACCCACAUCGGUGUGUACAGACUGAUAGCACAGAGACACCAACGUCAGUCUGUAUUGGUGUGUAUGGACUGACAGCACAGAGACCAGCAUUGGUGUGUAUGGACUGACAUAACAGUGUGAUAACACCAAUGUCAGUCUGUACCCACUGAUAUAACAUCAUAAUAACACCAACAUCAGUGUGUAUGGACUGAUAUAACGCUGUGAUAACACCAAUGUCAGUCUGUGCCCAUUGAUAUAACACCAUAACACCAACAUCAGUGUGUAUGGACUGCUAUAAUGCUGUGAUAACACCAGUGUCAGUCUGUGCCCAUUGAUAUAACACCGUGAUAACACCAACAUCAGUGUGUAUGGACUGAUAUAACACCGUGAUACCACCAACGUCAGUCUGUAUGGACUGACAGCACAGAGACACCGACGUUGGUCUGUAAGGACUGACGUAACAGCAUGAAAGCACCAACAUCAGUCUGUUCUGACUGACAUAACACCACGAGGACACCAACAUCAGUCUGUUCUGACUGACACAACAGCAUGGCAGCACCAAUAUCGGCCUGUAUGGACUGUUGUAACAGUGUGAUGGCCCCAAUGUCAGCCUGUACUGCCUGAUAUAACACCACAAUAACACUGACAUCAGCCUGUACUGCCUGACAUAACACCACGACGACACCAAUGUCAGCCUGGUCCAACUGACACCCCAUGGCAGCACCAACAUCAGGCUGUACUGACUGACAUAACACCAUGGCAGCACCAGCAUCAGUCUGUUCCGAUGGACAUAACAGCAUGGCAGCACCAAUAUCAGCCUCUAUGGACUGUUGUAACACUGUGAUGGCCCCAAUGUCAGCCUGUUCUGACUGACAUAACACCGUGAUGACCCCAAUGUCAGUCUGUUCCGACUGACACCCCAUGGCAGCACCAACAUCAGGCUGUACUGACUGACAUAACACCAUGAGGACACCAACAUCAGUCUGUUCCGACUGACACAACAGCAUGGCAGCACCAAUAUCGGCCUGUAUGGACUGCUGUAACACUGUGAUGGCCCCAAUGUCAGCCUGUUCUGACUGACAUAACACCGUGAUGACCCCAAUGUCAGCCUGUUCCGACUGACAUAACACCAUGAGGACCCCAAUGUCAGCCUGGUCCAACUGACACCCCAUGGCAGCACCAACACCAGGCUGUACUGACUGACAUAACACCAUGAGGACAGCAGCAUCAGGCUGUAUUGACUGACAUAACAGCAUGGCAGCACCAAUAUCGGCCUGUAUGGACUGUUGUAACACUGUGAUGGCCCCAAUGUCAGCCUGUACUGCCUGAUAUAACACCACGAUAACACUGACAUCAGCCUGUACUGCCUGAUAUAACACCAUAGCACUGACAUCAGCCUGUACUGCCUGAUAUAACACUGUGAUAACACUGACAUCAGCCUGUACUGCCUGAUAUAACACCGUGAUAACACUGACAUCAGCCUGUACUGCCUGAUAUAACACCGUGAUAACACUGACAUCAGCCUGUACUGCCUGAUAUAACACCAUAACACUGACAUCAGCCUGUACUGCCUGAUAUAACACCACCAUAACACUGACAUCAGCCUGUACUGCCUGAUAUAACACCGUGAUAACACUGACAUCAGCCUGUACUGCCUGAUAUAACACCAUGAUAACACUGACAUCAGCCUGUACUGCCUGAUAUAACACCAUAACACUGACAUCAGCCUGUACUGCCUGAUAUAACACCAUGAUAACACUGACAUCAGCCUGUACUGCCUGAUAUAACACUG